AAAUGAACCGUUGGAAAAAAAUAUAAUGACCCUGAUGGAAAAAAUAGAAUGUCCCUGAUGGAAAAUAGAUGGUAUUUGAACCUAUACGGUUCAGUAAAUCGGAGGCUGAUGUUACUGUGACCCUUAAUGGAAUGAAAAUAGAAAGCCUACUUUGUUUUAAAUUCUAUAAAAUAGAAUGACACGAUGAAAAAAAAUAGAAUGACCCUGAUGGAAAACGUAUGGUA
Molecule: long non-coding RNA, 224 nt
Filed under: Trifolium pratense (red clover)
Lineage: Eukaryota; Viridiplantae; Streptophyta; Magnoliopsida; Fabales; Fabaceae
Description: long non-coding RNA (TPRA_LNC000578)
Source: RNAcentral